UCUAGUUAGCAUUAUACCGUGAAACUGCGAAUGGCUCAUUAAAUCAGUUAUCGUUUAUUUGAUAGUACCUUACUACUUGGAUAACCGUGGUAAUUCUAGAGCUAAUACAUGCUAAAAACCCCAACUUCGGGAGGGGUGUAUUUAUUAGAUAAAAAACCAACGCCCUUCGGGGCUUCUUGGUGAUUCAUGAUAACUUUACGGAUCGCAUGGCCUUGCGCCGGCGACGGUUCAUUCAAAUUUCUGCCCUAUCAACUUUCGAUGGUAAGGUAUUGGCUUACCAUGGUUUCAACGGGUAACGGGGAAUUAGGGUUCGAUUCCGGAGAGGGAGCCUGAGAAACGGCUACCACAUCCAAGGAAGGCAGCAGGCGCGCAAAUUACCCAAUCCCGACACGGGGAGGUAGUGACAAUAAAUACUGAUACAGGGCUCUUUUGGGUCUUGUAAUUGGAAUGAGUACAAUUUAAACCUCUUAACGAGGAACAAUUGGAGGGCAAGUCUGGUGCCAGCAGCCGCGGUAAUUCCAGCUCCAAUAGCGUAUAUUAAAGUUGUUGCAGUUAAAAAGCUCGUAGUUGAAACUUGGGUCUGGCUGGCAGGUCCGCCUCACCGCGUGUACUUGUCCGGCCGGGCCUUCCUUCUGGAGAACCUCAUGCCCUUCACUGGGCGUGUUGGGGACCAGGACUUUUACUUUGAAAAAAUUAGAGUGUUCAAAGCAGGCCUUUGCUCGAAUACGUUAGCAUGGAAUAAUAGAAUAGGACGUGCGGUCCUAUUUUGUUGGUUUCUAGGACCGCCGUAAUGAUUAAUAGGGACAGUCNGGGGGCAUCAGUAUUCAAUUGUCAGAGGUGAAAUUCUUGGAUUUAUUGAAGACUAACUACUGCGAAAGCAUUUGCCAAGGAUGUUUUCAUUAAUCAGUGAACGAAAGUUAGGGGAUCGAAGACGAUCAGAUACCGUCGUAGUCUUAACCGUAAACUAUGCCGACUAGGGAUCGGGCGAUGUUCUUUUUCUGACUCGCUCGGCACCUUACGAGAAAUCAAAGUUUUGGUUC
This 1040-nucleotide ribosomal RNA is filed under the name Paraconiothyrium sp. RNAcentral describes it as "SSU rRNA". It matches the Rfam family "Eukaryotic small subunit ribosomal RNA", at positions 64 to 1114 of the family's 1831-position model. Lineage: Eukaryota; Fungi; Ascomycota; Dothideomycetes; Pleosporales; Didymosphaeriaceae. The record is from RNAcentral.